This 482-nucleotide ribosomal RNA is filed under the name uncultured bacterium. RNAcentral's name for it is "bacterial SSU rRNA". It matches the Rfam family "Bacterial small subunit ribosomal RNA", at positions 66 to 523 of the family's 1533-position model. The record is from RNAcentral.
GCUUGCACUAAAUGAAACUAGAUACAAGCGAGCGGCGGACGGGUGAGUUAACACGUGGGUAACCUGCCCAAGAGACUGGGAUAACGACCUGGAAACAGAUGCUAAUACCGGAUUAACAACACGUAGACGCCAUAGUCUAGAGUUUGAAAGAUGGUUCUGCUAUCACUCUUGGAUGGACCUGCGGUGCAUUAGCUAGUUGGUAAGGUAACGGCUUACCAAGGCAAUGAUGCGAUUAGCCCGAGUUGAGAGACUGAUCGGCCACAUUGGGACUGAGACACGGCCCAAACUCCUACGGGAGGCAGCAGUAGGGAAUCUUCCACAAUGGACGAAAGUCUGAUGGAGCAACGCCGCGUGAGUGAAGAAGGGUUUCGGCUCGUAAAGCUCUGUUUGGUAGUGAAGAAAGAUAGAGGUAGUAACUGGCCUUUAUUUGACGGUAAUUACUUAGAAAGUCACGGCUAACUACGUGCCAGCAGCCGCGGUAA